RNAcentral lists this long non-coding RNA (325 nucleotides) under Amphimedon queenslandica. RNAcentral describes it as "uncharacterized LOC109593567". The record is from RNAcentral. Lineage: Eukaryota; Metazoa; Porifera; Demospongiae; Haplosclerida; Niphatidae.
CAACACAGACACUAUAAGAUGACAGACAAGAGUACUAUUACUGCUUUGUUAUGUUUAGCGACAUCAGGGAAAGGUACUAUACAGCCAAGAAUGAUAACGAUGAACUGUGUUCUGAAAGAGUGAAGGUGUUGAUGAAACUUCGUAAAUAUAGAUGGCAAAAAGCAUCUGUUGAACCUAAAUUAUGACUAAAAUUAUUAUUAUAGGCAUAUAAAAUAAUAUCUUAUGUUUGAUGUAAUAAACAAUAGUCUCUAGAGCUUUUGUUUCAUCCCCUUUUGACUUCAUCACAAAAUAAAUGUGUGAUUUGACCUCUUUGGUGGUAGAAGUA